Molecule: ribosomal RNA, 56 nt
Filed under: Akanthomyces dipterigenus
Lineage: Eukaryota; Fungi; Ascomycota; Sordariomycetes; Hypocreales; Cordycipitaceae
Description: Lecanicillium longisporum partial 18S ribosomal RNA
Source: RNAcentral
GUUUGGGGUAAAAAAACUACAAGGUUUCCGUUGGUGAACCAGCGGAGGGAUCAUUA